Molecule: transfer RNA, 87 nt
Filed under: bacterium
Lineage: Bacteria
Description: tRNA-Leu
Rfam family: tRNA
About the family: Transfer RNA (tRNA) molecules are approximately 80 nucleotides in length. Their secondary structure includes four short double-helical elements and three loops (D, anti-codon, and T loops). Further hydrogen bonds mediate the characteristic L-shaped molecular structure. tRNAs have two regions of fundamental functional importance: the anti-codon, which is responsible for specific mRNA codon recognition, and the 3' end, to which the tRNAs corresponding amino acid is attached (by aminoacyl-tRNA synthetases). tRNAs cope with the degeneracy of the genetic code in two manners: having more than one tRNA (with a specific anti-codon) for a particular amino acid; and 'wobble' base-pairing, i.e. permitting non-standard base-pairing at the 3rd anti-codon position.
Source: RNAcentral
GCGAGAGUGGCGGAACUGGCAGACGCGCUAGACUUAGGAUCUAGUGCCCGAGAGGGCUUGGGGGUUCGAGUCCCCCCUCUCGCACCA